Molecule: small RNA, 2026 nt
Filed under: Pongo abelii (Sumatran orangutan)
Lineage: Eukaryota; Metazoa; Chordata; Mammalia; Primates; Hominidae
Description: retained intron
Source: RNAcentral
UGACAUUGGGAGCUAAAUAUCUGACUCUCGUAUGCUUUAAAUACAUUUUAAUUCUUUAGGUGAGUAUGCCUUGGCAGCAGAAUUGUACAGAGAAGUGUUGCGCUCCUCGGAGGAACACAAAGGAAAACUCAAAACUGAUUCACUUCAAAGACUUCAUGCUACCCAUAACUUGAUGGAAUUGUUGAUAGCCAGGCACCCAGGGAUACCACCUACCUUGCGUGAUGGCCGACUUGAGGAAGAGGCCAAACAGCUGCGAGAGCACUAUAUGAGCAAAUGUAAUACAGAAGUUGCUGAAGCCCAGCAAGCUUUAUAUCCUGUGCAGCAGACCAUCCAUGAGCUUCAAAGAAAGAUUCAUUCUAAUUCUCCUUGGUGGCUAAAUGUGAUCCACAGAGCAAUAGAAUUUACUAUUGAUGAGGAGCUAGUUCAGCGAGUGCGAAAUGAAAUAACCAGCAACUACAAGCAACAAACUGGCAAGCUUUCUAUGUCAGAGAAGUUCCGUGAUUGCAGAGGUCUUCAGUUCUUACUUACAACACAAAUGGAAGAGCUAAAUAAAUGCCAGAAGCUAGUAAGAGAGGCUGUAAAAAACCUGGAAGGACCUCCAUCUCGUAACGUUAUUGAGUCUGCAACAGUCUGCCACCUCCGACCAGCCAGACUUCCUCUGAACUGCUGUGUCUUUUGUAAAGCUGAUGAAUUGUUCACAGAGUAUGAAUCAAAGCUAUUUUCCAACACAGUCAAAGGCCAGACUGCAAUAUUUGAGGAGAUGAUAGAAGAUGAAGAAGGACUGGUGGAUGAUCGAGCACCUACCACCACCCGGGGUCUCUGGGCAAUAAGUGAGACAGAGCGAUCUCUGAAAGCAAUACUAUCAUUUGCAAAAUCACAUAGGUUUGAUGUUGAAUUUGUUGAUGAAGGAAGCACUUCAAUGGAUCUCUUUGAAGCAUGGAAGAAGGAAUAUAAGUUGCUUCAUGAAUAUUGGAUGGCUCUGAGGAAUCGUGUGUCUGCUGUUGAUGAACUUGCAAUGGCUACAGAACGACUAAGAGUGCGUGAUCCUAGGGAGCCAAAGCCUAAUCCGCCUGUUCUUCAUAUCAUUGAACCACAUGAGGUAAUUGGCAAGUAAAUCACAGAAAAGGGAACAGCAAGCAGAUGUCACAGAUAUCUAAGACCCAUAGAAAAGGCAGAAUCAGGGCACUGAGCUCUACUGUAAGUGUGUAUUUAAUCUCCAUUUUUAAUUUGACCCAUAGAAAAUUGUCUUUGUAGAUCAAAAAUGGUCGAAGAUGAGCAAUUUCAUAUCUAUUACGUGCUUAGUGUUCACUAUUUUGGUGCAUCUUGUUUCUCUCCAGGUUGCACAUUCGUCUGUUUUUGAGUUUAAAACCUUGUAUGUGCUUAAGACCAAUAGAUAUUCUGACUUUUUAGACAUUUUUGUGACCUCAGUUUUAUCAGAACUAGAAAAAUCUUCCUUAAAAACUACUGAAACCUUUUCUUUUGCAGUGUUUCUUUUGCUAAUGAUGAACUAAUAUUAACAACUUACCUUCUAAUGAAUUUAUCUUUGUAACUCGGGUUUAAAAACAUUACUCCACCAAUCUCUUUUAUUCUCCAUUAAAAGAUAUUAUUUCCUUUAUAAUUCAUUUUUAUUCCUUAUCUGUUUAGUGCCUUAAGUCUGUUUCUGUACAGCUUGGAGACUAUAACUUGGAAAAAUUUAGAUAUAUUCAUUAUAUACUAUCUCACUUAAAUGUGAAUUCUGAAGAAGUUUUUCUGAGAAAAUAAAUUCCUGUUGUUAGAGUGUUCCUUCUCUGUCUGCUGUAUUCUACCAGGGGUACAGAGGAAAGAAGGGCAGAGAAAUUCUUUCCUGGAUUUCAUGAAAUCACUGAGGCCAGAACAACAAAUCAUUUAACUUUUCUUUAUCCCGUGUAUGUAUUACUGAAAAAAAUGAUACAUAAUAGAAUUUGAGUUUAUUUUUAUCUGACUUCAGGUACAUAGGGACACUUCCUAUUUAAAAGAACUCUGCAUUGAAUUGUGCCUUUCAUAAAGA